Molecule: long non-coding RNA, 144 nt
Organism: Orcinus orca (killer whale)
Lineage: Eukaryota; Metazoa; Chordata; Mammalia; Artiodactyla; Delphinidae
Exons: 3
Source: RefSeq, a predicted model, not a curated record
AACAGAGGUCUGCUGAAGUGAAAUACUGACUUAGGUCACAAAGUAAUGGCAGAGCUGGGAUUCAAACUCAGGUUGGGAAGGAAGCAUUAUAAAUGCUGACCAGUCUGGAUACCUAGGAAUUCCAGCAAACCGUAGAUGUCUUGC